Molecule: long non-coding RNA, 496 nt
Organism: Silurus meridionalis
Lineage: Eukaryota; Metazoa; Chordata; Actinopteri; Siluriformes; Siluridae
Exons: 6
Source: RefSeq, a predicted model, not a curated record
AAAACAGCAGAAAUCCAAUCAGGAAUCUCAGUCAGGACACAAACCACUUCAGACUGGAAAUGAACACCUUUAUGCCGCUGUGGAUCAGGCAGAUACGAGUGGAACAGAUGAAGCUGCAGCUGGAAGCAGUGCCACUUACGCACAGGUCAUGAAGAAAAAGAAGGCAAAGAAGAACAAUGGUGCUGAUGCUGAACUCGGCAUGAAUGAUGUGACUUACGCUGAGAUUCAACUAAAACCCAUGAAAAAAGAGAAGAAAGCACAAGAAAAGACCAGUGUGGGUGAUGAUACUGUUUACUCAGAACUGCAUCAGAACAUGAAGUGAUCCAUGUGUCUGUCUACACUGAUGAAGCUACAGAGAUCAAACUGAUAGAUGGAAAACUCUGAGUUUGUGUUUGUUGUCUGUUUUUUUUUCCUUAAAAUGCUCUGCUGUUAAACCAAACUGCUUUGAUCUAAACCUAAUGAUACCUGGUGGCUUUUUCUGAGAACUUGCUUGCAU